This 512-nucleotide ribosomal RNA is filed under the name uncultured bacterium. RNAcentral describes it as "partial 16S ribosomal RNA". It matches the Rfam family "Bacterial small subunit ribosomal RNA", at positions 28 to 507 of the family's 1533-position model. The record is from RNAcentral.
GAUGAACGCUGGCGGCGUGCCUAAUACAUGCAAGUCGAACGAAACUUCUUUAUCACCGAGUGCUUGCACUCACCGAUAAAGAGUUGAGUGGCGAACGGGUGAGUAACACGUGGGCAACCUGCCCAAAAGAGGGGGAUAAUACUUGGAAACAGGUGCUAAUACCGCAUAACCAUAGUUACCGCAUGGUAACUAUGUAAAAGGUGGCUAUACUACCGCUUUUGGAUGGGCCCGCGGCGCAUUAGCUAGUUGGUAGGGUAAAGGCUUACCAAGGCAAUGAUGCGUAGCCGAAUUGAGAGGUUGAUCGGCCACAUUGGAACUGAGACACGGCCCAGACUCCUACGGGAGGCAGCAGUAGGGAAUCUUCCACAAUGGGCGAAAGCCUGAUGGAGCAACGCCGCGUGGGUGAAGAAGGUCUUCGGAUCGUAAAGCCCUGUUGUUAGGGAAGAAAGUGCGUGAGAGUAACUGUUCACGUUUCGACGGUAUCUAACCAGAAAGCCACGGCUAACUACGUG